AGCAGCCGCGGUAAUUCCAGCUCCAAUAGCGUAUAUUAAAGUUGUUGCAGUUAAAAAGCUCGUAGUUGAAUUUCGGGAUUGGCGCAUCGGUCGUGCCUCACGGAGUAUGAACUGGUGCAGUCAAUUUCUCACCUUCUGGAGAACCGCGAUGUCCUUAAUUGGAUGCCGCGGGGAACCAGGACCUUUACUUUGAAAAAAUUGAGUGUUUAAAGCAGGCAUUUUUGCUUGAAUACAUUAGCAUGGAAUAAUAAAAUAGGACGGCAUGGUUCUAUUUUGUGGUUUCUAGGACCACCGUAAUGAUUAAUAGGGAUAGUUGGGGGCAUUAGUAUUCAAUUGUCAGAGGUGUAAUUCUUGGAUUUAUUGAAGACUAACUACUGCGAAAGCAUUUGCCAAGGAUGUUUUCAUUAAUCAAGAACGAAAGUUAGGGGAUCGAAGACGAUCAGAUACCGUCGUAGUCUUAACCAUAAACUAUGCCGACUAGGAAUCAGACGAUGUUAAUUUUUAAUGACUCGUUUGGCUA
This 520-nucleotide ribosomal RNA is filed under the name uncultured Entrophospora. RNAcentral describes it as "SSU rRNA". It matches the Rfam family "Eukaryotic small subunit ribosomal RNA", at positions 569 to 1086 of the family's 1831-position model. The record is from RNAcentral. Lineage: Eukaryota; Fungi; Glomeromycota; Glomeromycetes; Entrophosporales; Entrophosporaceae.